GAUGAACGCUGGCGGCGUGCCUAAUACAUGCAAGUCGAGCGAACGGACGAGAAGCUUGCUUCUCUGAUGUUAGCGGCGGACGGGUGAGUAACACGUGGAUAACCUACCUAUAAGACUGGGAUAACUUCGGGAAACCGGAGCUAAUACCGGAUAAUAUUUUGAACCGCAUGGUUCAAAAGUGAAAGACGGUCUUGCUGUCACUUAUAGAUGGAUCCGCGCUGCAUUAGCUAGUUGGUAAGGUAACGGCUUACCAAGGCAACGAUGCAUAGCCGACCUGAGAGGGUGAUCGGCCACACUGGAACUGAGACACGGUCCAGACUCCUACGGGAGGCAGCAGUAGGGAAUCUUCCGCAAUGGGCGAAAGCCUGACGGAGCAACGCCGCGUGAGUGAUGAAGGUCUUCGGAUCGUAAAACUCUGUUAUUAGGGAAGAACAUAUGUGUAAGUAACUGUGCACAUCUUGACGGUACCUAAUCAGAAAGCCACGGCUAACUACGUGCCAGCAGCCGCGGUAAUACGUAGGUGGCAAGCGUUAUCCGGAAUUAUUGGGCGUAAAGCGCGCGUAGGCGGUUUUUUAAGUCUGAUGUGAAAGCCCACGGCUCAACCGUGGAGGGUCAUUGGAAACUGGAAAACUUGAGUGCAGAAGAGGAAAGUGGAAUUCCAUGUGUAGCGGUGAAAUGCGCAGAGAUAUGGAGGAACACCAGUGGCGAAGGCGACUUUCUGGUCUGUAACUGACGCUGAUGUGCGAAAGCGUGGGGAUCAAACAGGAUUAGAUACCCUGGUAGUCCACGCCGUAAACGAUGAGUGCUAAGUGUUAGGGGGUUUCCGCCCCUUAGUGCUGCAGCUAACGCAUUAAGCACUCCGCCUGGGGAGUACGACCGCAAGGUUGAAACUCAAAGGAAUUGACGGGGACCCGCACAAGCGGUGGAGCAUGUGGUUUAAUUCGAAGCAACGCGAAGAUCCUUACCAAAUCUUGACAUCCUUUGACAACUCUAGAGAUAGAGCUUUCCCCUUCGGGGGACAAAGUGACAGGUGGUGCAUGGUUGUCGUCAGCUCGUGUCGUGAGAUGUUGGGUUAAGUCCCGCAACGAGCGCAACCCUUAAGCUUAGUUGCCAUCAUUAAGUUGGGCACUCUAAGUUGACUGCCGGUGACAAACCGGAGGAAGGUGGGGAUGACGUCAAAUCAUCAUGCCCCUUAUGAUUUGGGCUACACACGUGCUACAAUGGACAAUACAAAGGGCAGCGAAACCGCGAGGUCAAGCAAAUCCCAUAAAGUUGUUCUCAGUUCGGAUUGUAGUCUGCAACUCGACUACAUGAAGCUGGAAUCGCUAGUAAUCGUAGAUCAGCAUGCUACGGUGAAUACGUUCCCGGGUCU
Molecule: ribosomal RNA, 1372 nt
Filed under: uncultured bacterium
Lineage: Bacteria
Description: bacterial SSU rRNA
Rfam family: Bacterial small subunit ribosomal RNA
Source: RNAcentral